GCCACCAGCCAUAUCACCCUGCAACUCACAACUGGCAACCCACUGAAGCUAGGCAGGUGUGAGCCUGGUCAGUACCUGGAUGGGUGACCUCCUGGGAAAAACAAGGUUGCUGCUGGAA
Molecule: ribosomal RNA, 118 nt
Organism: Lepisosteus oculatus (spotted gar)
Lineage: Eukaryota; Metazoa; Chordata; Actinopteri; Semionotiformes; Lepisosteidae
Source: Ensembl